GCAAGAUACUAUAUAAGAUGCAAAAACUGAAUAAUAUCCCUGCCCUCAUGGAUCAUCCAAUCUAGCUGGAAAUACAGAACACUUUCACCUUGGACUCAAGAGAUGUAGUCUUUAUGAAAUACUGUGCUUAGCUUCUAAAGAGCAUGGAGACAAAGCCAUUAAGAGAAGAAAACAUUUCUGCAAGAGAAAAAUAAACAGCAUAGAAUGAAAGACUUGGAUGACAAGAGUGUAUUGAGGAAACUUCAGGUGCCGGUAACACAUUAAGAUGGAGAUGGUGAAUAUACAAUUAGAAGUACAGAUCUAUAUAGCUCAGUAGAAAGAUUAUAGCUAGAGGUAAAAAUCGGAGGAACCCAAUGUU
RNAcentral lists this long non-coding RNA (358 nucleotides) under Monodelphis domestica (gray short-tailed opossum). RNAcentral describes it as "lncRNA (ENSMODG00000039710.1)". Lineage: Eukaryota; Metazoa; Chordata; Mammalia; Didelphimorphia; Didelphidae. The record is from RNAcentral.